Molecule: ribosomal RNA, 3114 nt
Filed under: Pyrenophora tritici-repentis
Lineage: Eukaryota; Fungi; Ascomycota; Dothideomycetes; Pleosporales; Pleosporaceae
Description: bacterial LSU rRNA
Rfam family: Bacterial large subunit ribosomal RNA (bases 700-3114)
Source: RNAcentral
AACCAGUAAAUAACUCUUCAGGUUUAAAACCUGUAGUUAUUUACCAUAACAGUGAACUGGACAAAACCCAAAUACUUCGUGAUAAUAAAGAUAAACCAGCUAUAUACCGUUGGAUUAAUAAUAUUAAUCAUAAAACAUAUGUGGGUAGUUCAGCGAACUUGACUGUAAGGCUAUACAAGUACUUUAGUAUUACACACUUAACUAAGUAUAAAACUCCCAUACACAAUGCUCUUUUAAAGUAUGGAUUUAAUAAUUUUAGUCUAGAAAUAUUAGAGUACUGUGAGCAUGGAAUAGAUCUUGUAAAUAGAGAACAAUACUAUUUUGAUCUUUUAAAACCUGAAUAUAAUAUUUUAAAGAUAGCAGGUUCUCCUUUAGGAUUCAAACAUAGCGAAAAAACCCUGGAAUUUUUCAGGAAUGAUCGUAAGGUGAGUGAGGAAACCAGAAAUAACCUAUCGUUGGCAGCAACAGGUAGAAUAUUAACUGAAAGUGAUAAAACAAAAAUAUCUAUAGCACGUAGAGGUAUUAAACUUUCAGAUGAAACUCGUGCGAGAAUUUCAGCCGCUACAAUAGCACUCAUUGGUGUAUCAGUUACAGUAAAAAAUGUAAAAACUGACACAGAAUUACAUUAUGAAAGCUUAACGGAUGCAGCUAAAGCAAUAGGUGUUAGUAGAACAGCGGUUAGAAAAGCCCUUGAUACAGGUAGAACUGUAAAAGGACAAUAUUUAGUGGCCACAAAAAAUUAAAAAGUAUUUUAUUAUUCGUUAAAUGGAUAGCUAUUUGCUAUUUAGGGAGAAGGACCUUAGCUCAGCCUAACAAAAAGGCUAAAGAGGUAGAUUUGUUUCCGCGAAACAUAUGUAAGUAUGUAGUUUAAAUAACAUCAUAGCAGGUACAGAACUGUAAUCUCGGACAAUUUGUGCAUUAAUAUCCUAUUAGGGUAUAUAAUGCCUUGUGCAUAUGGGGGGGUCGUGAAGACUCUAUUCGCGAGUAUUUGCUCUCGGAAGGGCAAUGAUGAGUGUUGAACUAUCAGACAUUUAACGAUAAGGUUGUGUGUCAAAAGGGAAACAGCCCAGAACAAGUGUUUAAGGUUCCAAAGUUUUUGUUAAGUGAAAGUAAGGAAGUAUUUAAACUAUACAACCAGGAAAUAGGCUUAGAAGCGGCCAUUUUUUAAAGACCUCGUAACAGAGCACUGGUUCAAAUGGUUAAUUCGUUAACCUAAUUAGUUAAAAGCGCCGAAGAUAUAACGGAUCUAAAACAAAACACCGACACCUUGUCCAUAAUAAUAAUAUUAGGUUAAAUCCUAGUUUACUAUACUUAAAGGUUAUUUAAGUAUUAUUUAUGGGGUAGCGGAACAUUGGGUAAAUAGGUUUUAAAUAGAUAGCACUCCCUACCCUUAGCUUAAUUGAAUUUGGGGAGAGGUCUUUUAUUAAUGUAUAAUAACUGACUAUAGAGGGUUACGUCUAUUUCAUAAUUACAUUUGUAAUUUGCUCGCUAUAUAGCGGGUUACCAUACAUAUCCCAAGUGAGAAUGCUGACACGAGUAACGAAAAAGAGGGAGAAAUUGGGCAAACCCAAUUGAACAGGAUAGAUUGAAGUACGUAGAUAAACUAAAUAGAUGAUACGACCCAACCUGUUGUAAGGUCCUCUCGCCUUAAGCUUAUGGGAAAGUUAAUCGGUCUCUAAAUUUAACCUAAAGGAUAAAAUGAUGAGGAAAAGUAUAUGUGACAACAUAAAAUGGAGUAAAAUGUUCUGGAAAAGCAUAUACUAAGCAAGGAAGGAGAAAUGGUUCUAGGUUAUAAACUAAAAAGAAGAUACUAGGCAUUUCUUUCUAUAGGGAAUAAACUAGAACAGAUGAUACUAGUUUCCUUGUUUAUACUAAAACCGUACCUAAAAACUACCACAAGUAAGCUAGUAGAGAAUACGAAGGCGUUUGAGCUAACAAUCAUUAAGGAACUCGGCAAAUUGACACCGUAACUGCGGGAGAAGGUGUGCCAUUCCUACUGAUUAAUAUCAGUUUAGGAAGAGGAGACAUAAAAUGGUGUUGCACGACUGUUUAAUUAAAACACAGCACUUUGCGUAAGAUGUAAAUCAAUGUAUAGAGUGCGCUAUCUGCCCAAUGAUGGCUGGUUAACGGAUUUACUUAGACGACUAAAAUAGCCUAGGUUUUGAAGGAACCCCCAUUUAAUGGCGGCCUUACCUAUAAGGGUCCUAAGGUAGCGAAAUACCUUGGCAUUUAAAUGAUGUCGCGCAUGAAUGAUCUCACGAUGCAACAGCUGUCUCAAUGAUUGGCUCAGUGAAACUGGAAUGGCAGUGAAGAUACUGCCUAUCUCUAGAUAGACGAGAAGACCCCAUGCAGCUUUACUGUUACUAGUUAUAGGGUAUAAUUUAACAGGUUUUAGGGAAUAAGGUAGUUGAACGACAAAAUUGAAACACCUUUACUCUGGUUGUUAUAUCAGUAGAAUAGGUUACAUUAUUGUAACUGACGUCUGAAUGUAAUCCAUAAAAGGAGGGAGAUUAUAUCAAGCUCAGGAGACAAUGGCUAGCAGAUGGUUUAUGCGGGGCACAGAUCCCAUAAAGAGUACCUGGGAGUAUCCAAAUUUAUUUUUGUAAUAUGCUAUACGCAAAUUAUAUGGGGCUUUUAUUAAAUAAUUGCCUUGUAUAUUUUAAUUUUUUAAUUACUAUAUUUAGUUUGUUAUUUUUUAUAUUUACUUUUAUAAAGUAUCUAUAACUAAUUCAGUUAUAUUUCUAUUUAAGUUAGAACUAAAACAAUUUAAUAUAAGUAAGAUUUUACCUAUGUGGAAAAUAGGUGUAUAUAUAGUAUUAAUAAUUAAUAUCUAAUGGUAAAAUAACAAUAUAGAGUAAAAGAAGAUAUAAUUAUAACACUAUUAGUUAUUUUUUUUUACAGAAUACCUGUAUAAGAGAAAUGAUGUUGAUAUAUACUUCAAAAGUUUAAUGGCUUAAUCUUGCUUUACUGUUUGACAUACACGUCUAUCAGUUGCGUAAGCAGGGCAUAAAGACCGCAAGACGCAGUAAGGAAAGGUCUUGUAUUAUUGAAAAAGCUACGCUGGGGAUAACAGGCUAAUUGCGCCAGAGAGUACAAAUUGAGUGCGCAGUUUGG